UACGUAGGGUGCGAGCGUUGUCCGGAAUUACUGGGCGUAAAGAGCUCGUAGGUGGUUUGUCGCGUUGUUCGUGAAAACUCACAGCUUAACUGUGGGCGUGCGGGCGAUACGGGCAGACUGGAGUACUGCAGGGGAGACUGGAAUUCCUGGUGUAGCGGUGAAAUGCGCAGAUAUCAGGAGGAACACCGGUGGCGAAGGCGGCAUCCUGGACCAACACUGACGCUGAGGAGCGAAAGCCAGGGGAGCAAACGGG
Molecule: ribosomal RNA, 253 nt
Filed under: uncultured bacterium
Lineage: Bacteria
Description: partial 16S ribosomal RNA
Rfam family: Bacterial small subunit ribosomal RNA
Source: RNAcentral